RNAcentral lists this ribosomal RNA (449 nucleotides) under uncultured bacterium. RNAcentral describes it as "bacterial SSU rRNA". It matches the Rfam family "Bacterial small subunit ribosomal RNA", at positions 331 to 794 of the family's 1533-position model. The record is from RNAcentral.
CCAGACUCCUACGGGAGGCAGCAGUGAGGAAUAUUGCACAAUGGGGGGAACCCUGAUGCAGCGACGCCGCGUGGGCGAGGAAGUAUUUCGGUAUGUAAAGCCCUAUCGGCAGGGAAGAAGAAAUGACGGUACCUGAAGAAGAAGCCCCGGCUAACUACGUGCCAGCAGCCGCGGUAAUACGUAGGGGGCAAGCGUUAUCCGGAUUUACUGGGUGUAAAGGGGGCGCAGACGGCGAUGCAAGCCAGGAGUGAAAGCCCGGGGCCCAACCCCGGGACUGCUCUUGGAACUGCGUGGCUGGAGUGCAGGAGGGGCAGGCGGAAUUCCUGGUGUAGCGGUGAAAUGCGUAGAUAUCAGGAGGAACACCGGUGGCGAAGGCGGCCUGCUGGACUGCAACUGACGUUGAGGCCCGAAAGCGUGGGGAGCAAACAGGAUUAGAUACCCUGGUACGA